UUUUUUUUUACUUUGUACUUCUUUUGUUGAUCCUUUCAUAUCUUGCUGUCAUUUUCUGUUUCAAUGUUUUGCUUUUGUUACUUUAUUAGUAUGGUUUCAUUCCUUUUAUGUUUUCUUCUUUUGCAAACUUUCAGGGUUUUGUUGUUGUUGUUUUAUAUUGUUUUGGUUCUUUUAUAUGUAUGCAGGACAGUAUAAUUCAUUUUGACAUAAUUAUAAAGCAUGGAAUACAUCUUAUUCUAAUUCAGUCCCCAAUACCUUUCCUUCCCCUUCCCUCCACACUCUAGCCCACUCUGUUCCCUUUAGUGUUCUUUCUGCCACUUACCCAUAGUUAUUUUUUAAAUUAGCUUCUUGUGGAUAUACAUGAUGGUGAGAUUCACUGUGAUGUAUUCAUAUAUGUACAUAGGAAAUUAUGUCAGAUUCAUUUCACUGUAUUUCCUUUUCCCAUUCCCCCUCCCUUUAUUUCAUUUCCUUUUGUCUACUCCACUGAACUUCUAUUCUUUUCCCAUUUAUUGAGGAUUAGCUUCUAUAUAUCAGAGGAAACAUUUGACCUUUGGAUUUGGGGGGAUUAGCUUAUUUCACUUAGCAUGAUAGGCUCCCUACAUCCAUCCAUUUAC
Molecule: long non-coding RNA, 614 nt
Filed under: Marmota monax (woodchuck)
Lineage: Eukaryota; Metazoa; Chordata; Mammalia; Rodentia; Sciuridae
Source: RNAcentral